UUCUUCCCGUAUAGGGUACCUGCGGAAGGAUCAUUAGAUUGAAUUAUCAUUGUUGCUCGAGUUCUUGUUUAGAUCUUUUACAAUAAUGUGUAUCUUUAUUGAAGAUGUGCGCUUAAUUGCGCUGCUUCUUUAGAGUGUCGCAGUAGAAGUAGUCUUGCUUGAAUCUCAGUCAACGCUACACACAUUGGAGUUUUUUACUUUAAUUUAAUUCUUUCUGCUUUGAAUCGAAAGGUUCAAGGCAAAAAACAAACACAAACAAUUUUAUUUUAUUAUAAUUUUUUAAACUAAACCAAAAUUCCUAACGGAAAUUUUAAAAUAAUUUAAAACUUUCAACAACGGAUCUCUUGGUUCUCGCAUCGAUGAAGAACGUAGCGAAUUGCGAUAAGUAAUGUGAAUUGCAGAUACUCGUGAAUCAUUGAAUUUUUGAACGCACAUUGCGCCCUUGAGCAUUCUCAGGGGCAUGCCUGUUUGAGCGUCAUUUCCUUCUCAAAAGAUAAUUUAUUAUUUUUUGGUUGUGGGCGAUACUCAGGGUUAGCUUGAAAUUGGAGACUGUUUCAGUCUUUUUUAAUUCAACACUUAGCUUCUUUGGAGACGCUGUUCUCGCUGUGAUGUAUUUAUGGAUUUAUUCGUUUUACUUUACAAGGGAAAUGGUAACGUACCUUAGGCAAAGGAUUGCUUUUAAUAUUCAUCAAGUUUGACCUCAAAUCAGGUAGGAUUACCCGCUGAACUUAGCAUAUCAUUAAACGAGAAAGGAUCAUUAGAUUGAAUUAUCAUUGUUUCCUCGAGUUCUUGUUUAGAUCUUUUUACAUAAUGUGUAU
Molecule: ribosomal RNA, 818 nt
Filed under: Hanseniaspora uvarum
Lineage: Eukaryota; Fungi; Ascomycota; Saccharomycetes; Saccharomycodales; Saccharomycodaceae
Description: eukaryotic LSU rRNA
Rfam family: 5.8S ribosomal RNA (bases 325-478)
Source: RNAcentral